UACGGGGGGAGCAAGCGUUGUUCGGAUUUACUGGGCGUAAAGGGCGCGUAGGCGGCCAGCACAAGUCAGUUGUGAAAUCUCCGAGCUUAACUCGGAAAGGUCAACUGAUACUGUGCGGCUAGAGUGCAGAAGGGGCAACUGGAAUUCUUGGUGUAGCGGUGAAAUGCGUAGAUAUCGAGAGGAACACCUGCGGCGAAGGCGGGUUGCUGGGCUGACACUGACGCUGAGGCGCGAAAGCCAGGGGAGCGAACGGG
RNAcentral lists this ribosomal RNA (254 nucleotides) under uncultured bacterium. Its description in RNAcentral is "partial 16S ribosomal RNA". It matches the Rfam family "Bacterial small subunit ribosomal RNA", at positions 524 to 776 of the family's 1533-position model. The record is from RNAcentral.